AGCGGAUGGGGGCCGGCGAUGCGUC
Molecule: small nuclear RNA, 25 nt
Filed under: Arabidopsis thaliana (thale cress)
Lineage: Eukaryota; Viridiplantae; Streptophyta; Magnoliopsida; Brassicales; Brassicaceae
Description: snRNA_16150
Source: RNAcentral